AUUGAACGCUAGCGGGAUGCCUUACACAUGCAAGUCGAACGGCAGCGCGGACUUCGGUCUGGCGGCGAGUGGCGAACGGGUGAGUAAUGCAUCGGAACGUGCCCAGUAGGUGGGGAUAACCAGUCGAAAGGCUGGCUAAUACCGCAUACGACCUACGGGUGAAAGCGGGGGACCGUAAGGCCCCGCGCUAUUGGAGCGGCCGAUGUAUGAUUAGCUAGUUGGCGGGGUAAGAGCCCACCAAGGCGACGAUCAGUAGCUGGUCUGAGAGGACGACCAGCCACACUGGGACUGAGACACGGCCCAGACUCCUACGGGAGGCAGCAGUGGGGAAUUUUGGACAAUGGGCGCAAGCCUGAUCCAGCCAUGCCGCGUGCGGGAAGAAGGCCUUCGGGUUGUAAACCGCUUUUGGCAGGAACGAAACGGCGCAAGCCAAUACCUUGCGCUAAUGACGGUACCUGCAGAAUAAGCACCGGCUAACUACGUGCCAGCAGCCGCCGCCGUAA
This 503-nucleotide ribosomal RNA is filed under the name uncultured bacterium. Its description in RNAcentral is "partial 16S ribosomal RNA". It matches the Rfam family "Bacterial small subunit ribosomal RNA", at positions 29 to 523 of the family's 1533-position model. The record is from RNAcentral.